GUGUUGUUGAGGAAAGAAGAAGAGAAGAAGAAGCUCGAUGGAGGAGAAGAGGAAAAAGAAAAAGAUUUGAAAUUUUUAAUUUAUCAUUAGGGGUAUAUUAGGUAUUUCACAUUUUCAACAUAAUUUUAAAAAUAAAAAUUAAAAAAAAUUUGACGUGUCAGUGCCACUUCAGCCAUCAUUACACAGUCAGCAUGCCAAAUCAUCAAAUUUAUCCAGUCAGAUGCUGACUGUUGGCGUUAGGGGGGUAAACCAAAGAAUCUUUAUUUUACAAGGGGAAUCUCCAAGUUUUUUUUUUUCAUAGGGGGUAAACCAAAAGACCCCCAAAUGGCAGGGGUAAAAGCCUAUUAACCCUAUUUUCAAUAAUAAUGAGGCUAUGUUGCACCAUCGAAUUUCUGGGCAAUGGACCUAUAUUUGGAAACUCAAGUUUCCCCCAAAGAUUAAAAAUUUCCUUUGGCGUAUUUGUCGCAAUUGUUUACCGACUCGUAGAGAUUGAUUGCGAAGGGAGUAGAUUGCCCUAAUAUAUGCACAAUCUGUUUGGAAAAAGAUGAAGACGGAAUGCACUUGUUCUUUAAGUGCAGCAAAAGUGUUGGUUGCUGGCAACGACUCAACCUCUGGAAUUCUAUUCUUCAUUUCUGGUCCUCUAAUGUUUCUUGUUAUGAAUUGAUUUUUGCUCUCAUCCAACAGCUCGACAUUUCCCAACAAUAAUUCUUUGCAGUCACUUUAUGGAGCAUAUGGAAGCAGAGAAAUAACAAAGUUUGGAACAAUGUGGUGGAAACGACUCAGCAAAUCAGUGAGAGGGCCGAGGCUUUUCUGAAUAGUUGGAAAAAUGCACAGAAAAUUACGCCAUGCAGCCAAGUUACCAGUGUCCAGCAUGAUAUCACUCGGUGGACAAAACCGGCUGUAGGGAGGUUCAAAUGCAAUGUGGAUGCAACUUUCUCCACUUCAUGUAAUAGGGCUGGUCUUGGAGCUUGUAUCAGAGAUGCAGAAGGUAAUUUUGUCGCAGGCCGAACAACCUUUCUCCCCCCUUUACUUGAUAUAGAGAUGGGUGAAGCCAUAGGUCUGUUGUAGGCAAUGCAGUGGGCGAAAGAGCUUAAUUUGGUAAGCACAGACUUCGAAUCAGACUCUAAGAUUGUGGCAGAUAGCAUUUAUAAAGGAGAUGGUGUCUCUAAUUUUAUGGCCAUCAUCCAUGAUUGUAGGCAUUUGUUAAUGAUCGACUUAGCAAACUCUGAUGUGAGUUUUAUUAAGAGACAAGCCAAUAGUGUAGCCCAUAGCUUAGAUAGGGAAGCAUUAUCACAUGCUAGUUUCCAAUUGCAUCUUAAUAUCCCUUAUUGUAUAACUUCUUUGAUUAAUAAUGAAAAGCUAUAAGCUUCCUUUUCUAAAAAAAUAAAAAAGAUCAUAAACCAAACAAUGUCUGCGUCCCAAGCUGCAGGAACAGGGGGUGGCUCAGCGCUGACUAUCAAUAUCAAAGUUGAACACAAGUUUACGGUAGAGUUGGCGGAUCUGGUGACCGUUGUCGCUGCAGAUUCGACGAAAGCGCCGAGCAUCGAUGUUGAGGAUAAGCCUACUCUAGAGUCGGCGGAUCUAGAGGCUUACGUCUCUUACUUCAAGUGGUGGGCCGGGUUAAACUGCGUUGCGGGCUAUGUUGCACUAGCAGUAGCUUUAGCAGUCUGUGAUUCCAAUCCCGUCUGUCAUUCCAAUCCCAAUACGAUGACUAAGGUACUAAUAUCUUUUGUACCAAUUUGCUUCUUCGCAAGUUAAGCCUUCUUCAGUUGCCUUGGAGGAAACCUCUCUCACAUAGAUCAGAUCAACACUCGUAGAUUCCGGGUCCUCAGGCUAUUGGGUAUCUUACAUCUCUAUGUGGCUUAUGUUUAUUAUUCACUGUGGUAACUUACAUCCUCUCAACUGUAGCGCCACCGGCAACAGCACCAGCACCAGCCUAGCCUAGUUCUGUUGUUACGUUGUUCUUUGGUUUAGGCUGUUUAUAAAAGCAUUCCAGUAUAGUAUGUCUUGUUAUUGUUGGUUGGUUCAUGGAACAAACAAAACAAACUCUAAGUUAAGCUUUUAGCUGUUUAUUGGAUUUCAAGUUCAUUCAUUUCUAUUUUA
Long non-coding RNA from Medicago truncatula (barrel medic), 2103 nucleotides. RefSeq lists it as uncharacterized. Lineage: Eukaryota; Viridiplantae; Streptophyta; Magnoliopsida; Fabales; Fabaceae. The record is from RefSeq and is a predicted model, not a curated record. The transcript is spliced from 2 exons.